UAAUGCCUGCCCAGUGACACUGUUAAACGGCCGCGGUAUCCUAACCGUGCAAAGGUAGCGUAAUAACUUGUCUUUUAAAUAAAGACUAGAAUGAAUGGCCAAACGAGGCUCUACCUGUCUCUUACAAAUAAUCAGUGAAAUUGAUCUUCCCGUGCAAAAGCAGGAAUAAUAUUAUAAGACGAGAAGACCCUGUGGAACUUCAAAUAUAAAAUCAACUAUCACUAACACCCCACCUUAACAGGCAUAUACCAAAUAGCAUUUGAUUUUUAUUUUCGGUUGGGGCGACCUCGGAACAAAACAAAACCUCCGAAAAAAGAACUAUUCAUAAACCUAGAGCCACAAUUCAAAGUGCUCCCAGCAAAGCGAUCCAAUACAUUUGAUCAACGAACCAAGCUACCCCAGGGAUAACAGCGCAAUCCCAUCCUAGAGUCCCUAUCAACGAUGGGGUUUACGACCUCGAUGUUGGAUCAGGACAUCCUGAUGGUGCAACCGCUAUCAAGGGUUCGUUUGUUCAACGAUUAAUAGUCCUACGUGA
RNAcentral lists this ribosomal RNA (535 nucleotides) under Testudo hermanni. Its description in RNAcentral is "partial 16S ribosomal RNA". It matches the Rfam family "Bacterial large subunit ribosomal RNA", at positions 1853 to 2603 of the family's 2925-position model. The record is from RNAcentral. Lineage: Eukaryota; Metazoa; Chordata; Testudines; Testudinidae.